This 253-nucleotide ribosomal RNA is filed under the name uncultured bacterium. Its description in RNAcentral is "partial 16S ribosomal RNA". It matches the Rfam family "Bacterial small subunit ribosomal RNA", at positions 524 to 776 of the family's 1533-position model. The record is from RNAcentral.
UACGUAGGGUGCGGGCGUUAAUCGGAAUUACUGGGCGUAAAGCGUGCGCAGGCGGUUUUGUAAGCCAGAUGUGAAAUCCCCGGGCUUAACCUGGGAAUGGCAUUUGGGACUGCAAGGCUCGAGUGCGGCAGAGGAGACUGGAAUUCCUGGUGUAGCAGUGAAAUGCGUAGAUAUCAGGAGGAACACCUGAGGUGAAGACGGGUUGCUGGGCCAACACUGACGCUGAGGCGCGAAAGCCAGGGGAGCAAACGGG